ACUUCAUUCACCUGAAUCAACAGCGUCAAGGCAGUGGAAUCAGAGUGUGGUGCUAGACCAAUAACCUUGCUUGCUUGUGCACAAGGUGGAUAGUAGUUCAUCCUUAUUCCCUGUGUUCCAUCUUCAAAGAAGCUUGCAAACGUCUCUAGAUUCGGAAUGAUAUGCACAGAAUUUAUUACCUGAAUGAAGGAGGGAUAGUUGGCCAAAAUCUCAUGUUUCUCAAGGGCACAGGCCGGGGAAGAAGGAAAAGCAUGUCACCCCAAUCAAGCUUCUGGUCUUCAGACACUACAAAGGCUUGGCCGUAGCCUUCAAUGUUAUUCGGUAGCUGGGCACAAGCCAACUUCUCAUUCAAUGAUUAGGUACCUGGAAGAAGCCCCAGUCCUUGCACGCCAAAUGGAGUUUCUGCUGUUCAUCAUCAUGGCCUAAUUUGCUCAUAUCAAUCACGGGAAUCUGAUAGGAUUCAUCGAUGGAAACUACAUCGAACUCGACCUCUGGCCUGAUAUACCUGGAUGGGAUGUCUUUCAAGUUCUUGGAUGCAAGAGCUUGGACCUUUUCGACAGGUAUAGAACCACCAAAUCCCUCUCUGUUGAUCACCCCUGUCUCCAUUUUCUAUGAAGCUGUAUAGUUCUCAAAUCUAACGAAAGUCUGAUUUAUUUUCAUGCGCUGAGGGGGCUUUUUUGGAUAGGCGAUGAGUUUGGCUAAAAUAUGUGCACAAAAAAUUUAAUUUAUUUGAUAUUUAUAAACAAUUACAUUUUAUUGAAGUUAUACAUUAAAUAAUUUUUUAUUAAUGAUUUUUUAUUUUUAUUAUUUAAUAUUAAAUUUAUAAUAAAAGUUCGUGUCUAAUUAUUACAUAAAAAUAAAUUUUAUAUAUUUAUUAUGUAAUAAACAUAAUUUAUUAUAUAUUUAUUUCUUAAGUAAUACAUAAACUAAUGCUUAUUAAAAGCAAGAAUACCAAAAAAAGAAGAAGAAAGAAUUAACUAGUGGGAUAAAAUGUAAAUAGCCAUUUUUCACAAGUUAGCUUUCUCCAGUUAAAAUUUCAAGUUGCUGUGUGAUUGAAAUGGAAUAUUCUCUAAAACUUCCACCUCUCCCAUAGUUAAAAUGAAAUCCAAAGGGGGUCUAAAUUCUACAGCCAGUUUGUCGCAUUGUUAGCUAAUUUCUAAGCGUCGUUUGCAACCUUGUCCGUCCUUUCUCAAUUUGAUAGGAAUUAUCCGGCCACAUUGAAAGCCAUAGGGAAAAGGACAAAGCUUACCCAAUGCCAUUAUUGGUUUCUAGAGUUUCUUUAUCAGUCACAUCUAAUUUUUUGUAACCUACUCUGCGGAAAACUGAAACUAGACCAGGAAAUAGGAAUCCAUGUAAGUCGGUUUUAACUUGAGAAAGGGUUGUUCUUCAUGCUUACUACAAAUAGGAGCAUUAAGUUGGAUUGUUGAUUGGUUACCCACUAUAACCAGUAUAUAUUUACAUUUUUAGGAGUUUUACAUGAAAUGCUUGUAAAGCAACCAAGGUUGUUAGGCACUUGAGAGACUGGACCACAUCCAACCGCGGGUCUCCAAACUACACUAUAACGUGGUUUGAACUUCAAGUAUUGCUACUCUGCUUCAUAUGUUUCCAGUACUUUACACUACCUCCUUAUGAUUAAAAAAGCACAGGCCAAUUCACCUUGUUGAGAGGAUCAAAUGAACUUGUCAUAGUCAGUCAUUUAUGUUUAAACCCUUUCCAUUAUUCCGAACUGAAAAUGCCAAUUAAAAAGCAUUCAAAGAAACAGAGUAACUAGACAUGCUACAACUUAUUUUGUGUAAUUAGAGAACUCACCCUUCAAACACAGCUACAUUAUAAUUAUAUACAGAUUGAUAUUACGACAUGGAUGAUAAAACAAAAAACAAAAAAACUUAAGCUUUUUGGGACACUCUAGCUAAGGGAAAAAGAAGCAAAGAAUGUUAGCAUGUAUACAGUCAAACCCAAGUUUUAAAGCUGUUUAAAUGCAACCAAAUAGUCUGACUCCCCCCUUUACAAAUUACUUAAUCCUGCUAUCAGUUGUUGAAUGAUAUGUAAUGUAUUAUUGAUACCCUUGCAUGGCAGCUUGGAGCCAGUUUCAUGAAGGAGUAACCUUUUCUUUCAUCUCAUUGAGUUGUUGGAUUUCCUGCUUCAGAAACAAUGCCUGUAAUUAGACAUAAAAGCGUAAAGAAGCAACAGAAAUUGUUUUUGUAAAAUCUAGCCACUGAAAGAGCAAUUUGUACAUCACGGACUAUCUAGUGAAGAGCAAUUGAAAUAUUACCCAAGAAGAAUGCCAAGUUCAUUUUCAUGAUCUCAGGACUUCACGUGUAUCUGGAAACCAGGAGGGAAAAUGGAGAAGAGCCGGAUGCUUUUUAAUUAAGAUUCGGGUUGGCAACCUUACGAGCAGAAAAAAAAGGUCUACGGCAGGUAUCACCAAACAUUGGGUUCAAACUCGAGAUUGAUCUUUCCCAUUAUUGUUUCUUACAUUUGAAUAUUGUAUAUAAAUGAAAAGUGAAGGUUACAACACAGUUACUACA
Molecule: long non-coding RNA, 2528 nt
Organism: Gossypium raimondii (Peruvian cotton)
Lineage: Eukaryota; Viridiplantae; Streptophyta; Magnoliopsida; Malvales; Malvaceae
Exons: 3
Source: RefSeq, a predicted model, not a curated record